Molecule: ribosomal RNA, 253 nt
Filed under: uncultured bacterium
Lineage: Bacteria
Description: partial 16S ribosomal RNA
Rfam family: Bacterial small subunit ribosomal RNA
Source: RNAcentral
UACAGAGGGGGCAAGCGUUGUUCGGAAUUACUGGGCGUAAAGGGCGCGUAGGCGGCUUGGUCAGUCCCGUGUGAAAUCCCUCGGCUCAACUGAGGAACUGCACGGGAAACUGCCUGGCUUGAGUUCGGGAGAGGGAAGCGGAAUUCCGGGUGUAGCGGUGAAAUGCGUAGAUAUCCGGAGGAACACCGGUGGCGAAGGCGGCUUCCUGGACCGACACUGACGCUGAGGCGCGAAAGCGAGGGGAGCAAACGGG